CUAAUACAUGCAAGUCGAGCGGACAGAAGGGAGCUUGCUCCCGGAUGUUAGCGGCGGACGGGUGAGUAACACGUGGGUAACCUGCCUGUAAGACUGGGAUAACUCCGGGAAACCGGAGCUAAUACCGGAUAGUUCCUUGAACCGCAUGGUUCAAGGAUGAAAGACGGUUUCGGCUGUCACUUACAGAUGGACCCGCGGCGCAUUAGCUAGUUGGUGGGGUAAUGGCUCACCAAGGCGACGAUGCGUAGCCGACCUGAGAGGGUGAUCGGCCACACUGGGACUGAGACACGGCCCAGACUCCUACGGGAGGCAGCAGUAGGGAAUCUUCCGCAAUGGACGAAAGUCUGACGGAGCAACGCCGCGUGAGUGAUGAAGGUUUUCGGAUCGUAAAGCUCUGUUGUUAGGGAAGAACAAGUGCGAGAGUAACUGCUCGCACCUUGACGGUACCUAACCAGAAAGCCACGGCUAACUACGUGCCAGCAGCCGCGGUAAUACGUAGGUGGCAAGCGUUGUCCGGAAUUAUUGGGCGUAAAGGGCUCGCAGGCGGUUUCUUAAGUCUGAUGUGAAAGCCCCCGGCUCAACCGGGGAGGGUCAUUGGAAACUGGGAAACUUGAGUGCAGAAGAGGAGAGUGGAAUUCCACGUGUAGCGGUGAAAUGCGUAGAGAUGUGGAGGAACACCAGUGGCGAAGGCGACUCUCUGGUCUGUAACUGACGCUGAGGAGCGAAAGCGUGGGGAGCGAACAGGAUUAGAUAC
RNAcentral lists this ribosomal RNA (754 nucleotides) under Bacillus pumilus. Its description in RNAcentral is "bacterial SSU rRNA". It matches the Rfam family "Bacterial small subunit ribosomal RNA", at positions 48 to 785 of the family's 1533-position model. The record is from RNAcentral. Lineage: Bacteria; Bacillati; Bacillota; Bacilli; Caryophanales; Bacillaceae.